GGUUAAAUUUCUGUAGCUUUAGAGGACGGGAGACUUCAUGACUUCAAUGCCAAGAAAAGUUACAGAGGCCUGCUGUACCUGAAAAUCAAGUUUGAGCUUCAAGAAUAAAGGCCAUGUUUUAAAAACAGCUGUAACACCAGUGAGGUGCUAGUGAGAACCCAGAACAAUUUCUAAGGAGAAUGGCUAUUGAAUGAUGGGAUCAGAAAUUAGGAGAGAAAUAAGGACCCUGGGCCAGGGAAAGAAAUGAACGAAGAUGCCACAUUAUGCCCAGAACUACUUCUCUCAUUCAAUAAUAAAGGCUUUGUUGUUGGGUCAACUUUUGUUAUGCUCAACUCUUUCCUUCCUGAGGAUGGGCUCUUUCUCAGGAGGCUCUUAUACUCCCAAUAAAUGCACUGCUAAUCUGAUGAAGCUCUAUUUUGUAGCUAUGCCAUCUGGAUCACAUAGUCUCCAAGGUGAGUAGAGCAGAGGAAGACAAAGAGCAGGGCAAGAUUGAGGUGGAAUUUACAUAUCCUUUGCACUUACUUUCUGCUGGCCUCAUCUGGUCGCAUGAUCCCACUCAGAUAGGUGCAUAGGGGCUUGGAAAAUUAGAAAAACGUGAAUAUUUGCAAUGCUUUCAGUAACCUGGAGAGGUACACAUGGCUGGUAUAACCAUUAUCUUCAUUUAAUGAUGUGAAAACACCUACCACAGGUCCUGGCACAUUGAGGGUCUUGAAUAAAUUCUGUCAGAUGAGUAGACAAGUGCACAAAAGGUUGAAGGAGUG
This is a long non-coding RNA of Mandrillus leucophaeus (drill), 761 nucleotides long. RefSeq lists it as uncharacterized. The transcript has 5 exons. NCBI's taxonomy places the organism in Eukaryota, Metazoa, Chordata, Mammalia, Primates, Cercopithecidae. The record is from RefSeq and is a predicted model, not a curated record.